RNAcentral lists this ribosomal RNA (151 nucleotides) under Paraglomus occultum. Its description in RNAcentral is "5.8S ribosomal RNA". It matches the Rfam family "5.8S ribosomal RNA". From Rfam's summary of the family: 5.8S ribosomal RNA (5.8S rRNA) is a component of the large subunit of the eukaryotic ribosome. It is transcribed by RNA polymerase I as part of the 45S precursor that also contains 18S and 28S rRNA. Lineage: Eukaryota; Fungi; Glomeromycota; Glomeromycetes; Paraglomerales; Paraglomeraceae. The record is from RNAcentral.
AAACUUUCAACAACGGAUCUCUUGGCUCUCGCAUCGAUGAAGAACGCAGCGAAAUGCGAUAAGUAGUGUGAAUUGCAGAACUUUGUGAACCAUCGAAUCUUUGAACGCAAAUUGCGCCUUUCUCGGAAGGCAUGUCUGUUUGAGGGCACCA